UUCAUGACUGGGGUGAAGUCGUAACAAGGUAGCCCUAGGGGAACCUGGGGCUGGAUCACCUCCUUA
RNAcentral lists this non-coding RNA (66 nucleotides) under Photobacterium damselae. Its description in RNAcentral is "partial 16S ribosomal RNA". It matches the Rfam family "Bacterial small subunit ribosomal RNA", at positions 1468 to 1533 of the family's 1533-position model. The record is from RNAcentral. RNAcentral also lists the same sequence under 11 other names. Lineage: Bacteria; Pseudomonadati; Pseudomonadota; Gammaproteobacteria; Vibrionales; Vibrionaceae.